Molecule: ribosomal RNA, 108 nt
Filed under: Pteropus alecto (black flying fox)
Lineage: Eukaryota; Metazoa; Chordata; Mammalia; Chiroptera; Pteropodidae
Source: RNAcentral
GUCUACGGCCAUCCCACCCUGAAUGUGCCCAAUCCCGCCUGAUCUCGGAAGCUAAGCAGGGUUAGUACUUGACGGGAGACCACCCAGAAAGACCAGGUGCUGUAGCCG